CUCUGUAUCAAAUGCUCAAGCGAAAGUGAUAGCGCAGCAGAUUUCGCUAUAAAAUUCAGAAUAUCAUCAAAAGAAAGAGCAAAAGUUUCUCUUUGUGAAACCAGUAGUCAAUAAAAGUGUUCACAUUCCAGUAAAAUUAAAAAAAAGCAUUUUCGAGUAUAUUUUUUAUAAAAUGAGUACACAUAGGAAAGUGUGUAGAAUUGUUGUGCCGCCUCACUCUCUCAAUAUUUCAAACUCGUUAAUUAAAAAUAUUAAUAUUCUAAGUAGCUAAAAAAAUAUAAUUUAACGCUAUGCUUUAAACUAAUUCUUUAUUCCAAGCAUUUCGUCGUGCCGAACUCAAAUCAAUCAGUUGAGAGCAAGUUUCGCUGUGGAGAUGAUGUACCUAUCAAGAAUUAUACUUGUAGAGAUAGAGAAUACGACAGUUGCAUAGCGUCACUUUUUUGGAGUGCAUUUGAUAGAAAAAUACAUUGUUCGUGACGUCAUGAACUAAAAAAGAAAAGGGAAACCGAAGAACUUUCGUAUAUACGUGAAAAUAUUAAAAGAGAUGAUUAAACUAUUCAUUGAUACUACAACAGGGGAAUUAUUUCCGAUCCCAUUGUUACUGGAGAUGAAACCAUGGUACUAACAAUGCUCCUAGAAGCUAGCAUGAGUGUAUGUAAUAGCUGAAAAAGUAUACAGAUCCAACUUAGCAAAAUGAUUAGGUUUUACUUGUUUUUAAAUCUGAAAUUUGCUCAAACAUCUAUGUAACUAAAAUCCAUAAAAUCCAUCAGCAAGCGUUCUGAAAUUUUCCAAAAAA
Molecule: long non-coding RNA, 796 nt
Organism: Bactrocera oleae (olive fruit fly)
Lineage: Eukaryota; Metazoa; Arthropoda; Insecta; Diptera; Tephritidae
Source: RefSeq, a predicted model, not a curated record